AAGAAUCGGGACUGUGGACCCAAGGAAAGAGUAUCUCUGCCCAAAGCUCUCUAUCCUCUUAUAGCUUCAAUAGCUCAUGGGCCCACCCACCAAUCUAAGACCAUCAUGAAAGAACUAAUAGACAAAAUAUGGGUGGCCCCAGGGAUAACCCCUGUCCUGGUGAGGCAUACUCAGUCUUGCCUCAUCUGUGCGCAGUGCAACCCGGGAAGAACUGAGCCUACACCAACUAAAUGUCUCCCCAAAGCCCAGUACCCGUUACAACGGUCAAAUUGACCACAUCCAGAUGCCAAUGUGCCAAGGGUUUCAAUAUGUGCUAGUAGUGGUAGACUUGUUCUCUGGGUGGCCAGAAGCCUACCCCAUCCGAAAUCAGACA
Molecule: long non-coding RNA, 373 nt
Organism: Bufo bufo (common toad)
Lineage: Eukaryota; Metazoa; Chordata; Amphibia; Anura; Bufonidae
Exons: 3
Source: RefSeq, a predicted model, not a curated record